This 253-nucleotide ribosomal RNA is filed under the name uncultured bacterium. Its description in RNAcentral is "partial 16S ribosomal RNA". It matches the Rfam family "Bacterial small subunit ribosomal RNA", at positions 524 to 776 of the family's 1533-position model. The record is from RNAcentral.
UACAGAGGGUGCAAGCGUUAAUCGGAAUUACUGGGCGUAAAGGGUGCGUAGGCGGGUCUUUAAGUCAGGGGGGAAAUCCUGGAGCUCAACUCCAGAACUGCCUUUGAUACUGAAGAUCUUGAGUUCGGGAGAGGUGAGUGGAACUGCGAGUGUAGAGGUGAAAUUCGUAGAUAUUCGGAAGAACACCAGUGGCGAAGGCGACACACUGGGCCAUUACUGACGCUGAGGCGCGAAAGCGUGGGGAGCAAACAGG